UAGGGCAUUAACAGAGCAGGAUAUGAAUAAUUUUUUUUUUGUGAUAUCCCAAGGAUGGAGGUCAUAUAAACGGAGCACACGGUUUCCAAUUCACUGAAAUCAUAGCUGAGAAUUAAGAGUUGUUAUAGCAGUGGACGUUCGAAGAAGCUUUAACAUGAAAACUUCAACCAUGACUUCGACUCUUUGUUUCUUUUUUAUUUUGUCUUCAUUUCUCCAAUUCUCGGACGCAUUUGUCUCUAACCAAGUUGGUAGAAGAUCUUCUAAGCAUGAAAGAAAUCUUCAAGAUAUUUGCCGGUUAGCCUACGAACAAUGUGGUGCCCUGGGACCUGAGCAGCAAUCACGUGACUCAACGGCUGAAGACGCUAGGCUCAAGAGAAGAGACAUUGAGUUUUUUUAUUGAUGAGCGAAAAUAGCACAAUUCACGGCGCCAUCGAAGAAAAUUGCUGUUUCUGUAGCGUUUUAGCGUUGAAAGAGGAAGUUUGAUCAUUAAAGAGACUGAAAAAAAGAGCGAAGUACGUAGUGUUACAUCAUGCAAAGUUUCAUUUCUUGUGGACUAAGCAAGUCUAUCGAACUCUUGAAUUGAAAGUAAAUUUGUGGUUAGGAAUUCGGGCCUUACGCAACCAUGAAGCCACCAAGCAGGAAAUAGAUGCAUGGGAAAUUAAUAGUUUUCAUUAACAAAACAGUACAUCCACUAGCCUGUAUAACAAGCAAUUUAGUGAGUACUAUUCGAAUGCUUUGCCAGAUUUCUCGCGCUUUUUACCUGGUUUACUGAGAAUCCGUGACUUGUAAAAGAAAAAGGUACGAAUGUGUUGCUCACUGCGACAAAGCCAAUUCCAAUUUUCGCUAUAAAAACAUUGCCCUCAUAUGCAUAUGAAAUUUACUUAAAAGAGGUGUGUAAAUUUUAUGAAAAGUGCGCCUAGAUUUUACCGUCACGAGCGACUGGGGACACACCUAUGUGAGUCUAAUUAUAAGUGAGCUUCAAUAAUAUAUUUCACUCCUUUUAUUUCUUUAGAAAGUUUAAACAAUUAUACCCUUAAACAUUGAAUACAUUUUCUGUGUUAAUUACAGAACCUAAAAAACGCUAAAGAAAAACUCCCUGAGGACUUUGUCCAAUCAAUACGCAAUUUAAAUUUACUGUAUAAUUUAAGGAUACUUCAAAUCGAAAGUUGGAGUAAUCAAUUAUGUUUCUCUUGUCAGGGUUAAGAGGUCAUCUAUUAGUCACUAAGAAUACUUAACAUUGAUAGAAUUUUGUCUUGAGAGACGCUGGAAGGUCUGUUUGAGAGCCUACAGAGGAUGGUUCACGCUGAGAUCAGUGUACAUCAUAAUUUUUAAGCGGUGCUGGUGAACAACAAAUUAGAAAGACGAUCUGAUUAUGAACGAUUGACAGAUGCAAAUAUUUAAGAAUCAUUUGGUUAAUCAAAGAAUAACGAUGAUCUUCAAGUAUACUCUUUUUGCUUCUUUUUCAUCUCCUAUUUUCUCAGAAUUGAGUCAUGGGAAUUCUUGUUAAAAAUUGGUGAACAAUUUUAUGAAAGAUUUCACCCUAUCUAUGACUAAACGAGGUUACGUGGUCAUAAGUUUGACUCAGAAAGAUAUUCAUGAAUUGUGUUGAAAACUGACAAGGUGUCGGUCAAGGAAUAUUGGUUAUAGGCAGUUAUCAUUUCAGACCGGUGGUAAAUGACAAGAGGAAAUGAACUAAUUUAAACCUGAAUUGGCAGCGAUAUUAAGGCACUUUUAAAAUAUUAAAAUAUCACAUCCUGGAAAUCGAAUCGUCACUAUACGAGGUGCGAGCGUUAAAGAAUCGAACAACAAAGCAGUGAAUCUCGUCAAUUUGGCCAAACACCGAAAAGAUAGGAUGUUGGUUCGUUCCAGGCUACUUUGUCUAUUGUCUCUUAUUCUCGUCCUGUUGCUGGGCAUGGACGCUAAGCAGUUGCGUGAGUUUUCAGAUGUAAGUAAAGGCAACGACUUGAAAGAGGAUCUGAAGAACGUUGCAUCGGAAAAGCGUAUCGGGCAAUCCUUAGAAGACAGGUUAAAAAGAAGAGUUCAAAGCGCCCGACAACUUCAGCGCUGUGAGAAUGGUAGAUUUAUGCUUCUUUGUAAAUGACAUCAUUACAAAAAUAUCCGGCGAAACAAAAAUGCAUCAGAUUCUGUUGUGUAGGACUCUGUUUAGAAUAGAAUUUCGCGUGCGCAUGUGUAAGUGUGACGGGGGCUCGAUGUCCCGGCUGGCAAAACGUUAGAUCAUAUCUUUACGUGUUUCUUCAGCGAGUGUUAUUAAUGCCCCUGAAUGCAUCAAGUAUCAUACUAUUGUUCUUGCUGUAAACUAAGAAAUCGAGAAAAUAAACUGAAUUACUUAUCUCA
Pocillopora damicornis (cauliflower coral) is the source of this 2355-nucleotide long non-coding RNA. The record is from RefSeq and is a predicted model, not a curated record. Lineage: Eukaryota; Metazoa; Cnidaria; Anthozoa; Scleractinia; Pocilloporidae.